Molecule: ribosomal RNA, 466 nt
Filed under: uncultured bacterium
Lineage: Bacteria
Description: partial 16S ribosomal RNA
Rfam family: Bacterial small subunit ribosomal RNA
Source: RNAcentral
GAUGAACGCUGGCGGCGUGCUUAACACAUGCGAGUCGAACGGAAAGGCUCCUGCUUGCAGGGGUACUCGAGUGGUGAACGGGUGAGUAACACGUGGGUGAUCUGCCCUGCACUUCGGGAUAAGCCUGGGAAACUGGGUCUAAUACCGGAUAGGACGAUGGUUUGGAUGCCAUUGUGGAAAGUUUUUUCGGUGUGGGAUGAGCUCGCGGCCUAUCAGCUUGUUGGUGGGGUAAUGGCCUACCAAGGCGUCGACGGGUAGCCGGCCUGAGAGGGUGUACGGCCACAUUGGGACUGAGAUACGGCCCAGACUCCUACGGGAGGCAGCAGUGGGGAAUAUUGCACAAUGGGCGCAAGCCUGAUGCAGCGACGCCGCGUGGGGGAUGACGGCCUUCGGGUUGUAAACUCCUUUCGCUAGGGACGAAGCGCAAGUGACGGUACCUGGAGAAGAAGCACCGGCUAACUACGUG